GAUGAACGCUGGCGGCGUGCUUAACACAUGCAAGUCGAACGAAGCAUUUGCGACAGAUUUUUUCGGAAUGAAGUUGCUUAUGACUGAGUGGCGGACGGGUGAGUAACGCGUGGGUAACCUGCCUUGUACUGGGGGAUAGCAGCUGGAAACGGCUGGUAAUACCGCAUAAGCGCACAAUGUUGCAUGACAUGGUGUGAAAAACUCCGGUGGUAUAAGAUGGACCCGCGUCUGAUUAGCUAGUUGGUGAGAUAACAGCCCACCAAGGCGACGAUCAGUAGCCGUCCUGAGAGGGUGACCGGCCACAUUGGGACUGAGACACGGCCCAGACUCCUACGGGAGGCAGCAGUGGGGAAUAUUGCACAAUGGAGGAAACUCUGAUGCAGCGACGCCGCGUGAGUGAAGAAGUAAUUCGUUAUGUAAAGCUCUAUCAGCAGGGAAGAUAGUGACGGUACCUGACUAAGAAGCUCCGGCUAAAUACGUG
Molecule: ribosomal RNA, 481 nt
Filed under: uncultured bacterium
Lineage: Bacteria
Description: partial 16S ribosomal RNA
Rfam family: Bacterial small subunit ribosomal RNA
Source: RNAcentral